Molecule: long non-coding RNA, 2692 nt
Organism: Nerophis ophidion (straightnose pipefish)
Lineage: Eukaryota; Metazoa; Chordata; Actinopteri; Syngnathiformes; Syngnathidae
Exons: 5
Source: RefSeq, a predicted model, not a curated record
AGCGGUACAAAAUGGAUGGAUGGAUGGAAUGUUUUGUCAUUAACAUGAGAGCAUGAGGAAAAUACAAGUGUCCACUCUGUCGUUGAAAUACCAUAUAAACACUAAUUAACAUAUUAAAAAUAAAAACAUAAAUGCCAGUACGAACAGUAGAAAAUGGUGUAAGCUAUUGGAUAGGAUAAGAUAAACUUAAUUUAUCCCACAAAUGGGAAAUUACGUGGUUGCAGUUCAGAUACAAAAAGUCCACUUAAAAUGAGGUACAAACAUACAAAAACAAUAGGGAAAAGUUAAAAAAAACAUAAAAUACAUUAAAAGAGAACAGAGCUGACGUGACCAGCUGCCACUUCAUCCAUCCAUCCAUCAAUUUUCUACCGCUUAUUCCCUUUGGGGUCGCGUGGGGUUCUGGUGCCUAUCUCAGCUACAUUCACCAGCGCCAUUUCUACAUACAGCUACACAUACACUGUGGUGGCCUCGGCAGUGCUGGGGAAGCACGGCCAGAGACCUGAACAGACCCAACAAAGCAACCAAGAGAGCUGACUCCGUCCUCGGCUGCCCACUAGCUUUCAGCGAAUGUCUGCGUGGAUAAGCGAGAAUCCAUCCCAGGACUUAGUGAGGCUUGUCCAUAACAGCGCUCAACGACAGCGCUGCACCCGAGUCUCUUCUUUCGCAUCUCCCCUGAUCUCUCCACGCAAACUGCGGUGUGGAAGCGAGCUGGUCUCAGUUGCUAAGAAGGCCAUGACCAAAAGGUUUCCCCGAGGCCAAUCCAAAAGUUCACAAAAAAGUACCACAAAAGUGCCACCCCUGGUUGCGCAGUCCCAGAGGGGCCAGAACCAAAAGGCAAUCAACACAUGAAAACUAAAGGGAAACAUCAAGAACACAAAGGACAUAAAAGAGUACAGAGCUCCUGCAACCAGCAGCCACUUCAGCAGUGCUAUUUUGAAAUAAAAUAAUUGGGGAAGAUUCAAUAUCCUAAUGGUCCUGAUUUUAUCCAAAUGGUAAAAAACAGUUUUUACUCUGUUUGUUGUGGUCUUGUGUGACCUAAAUCUCUUCCCUGAUGGCAGCAGCUUGAACAGGUGCUGACCAGAGUGAGAGCUGUCUGCCAGGAUAUUCUUUGUCAAUGCAACGCUAUCGAGCAGUGUUCAGCUAGGGAGGGCAGAGGGCGGCCGAUAAUCUUCUCCGCUGUCCUGGUCACUCUUUGCAGGCCCUUCCUGUCUGCAGCGGAGCAAGCAGCAAACCACACAGUUACGCAGGACAAAAGCUCUGGUUCUAGGGUGGCACGCUAGAAGGAUACCUGCAUGCAGUUUGUCCUCAAGUUGGCUCCUCCGCAGCACACGGAGCAAGUGGAGUCUCUGCUGUGCCUUACUGACCAGUGCUUAAGUGUUGGCAGUUCGUGUGAGGUCCUCCGAAAUUCAUGUGAUUUUGGCUCCUAAAAUCCAUGACCAUCUCCUUAUCUUUUUGGCGCUCAGCCCAUUGUUGUUCUUGGUCCACCACCCUGCCAAAGCCUCUAUUUUACUCUUUGUAGGCCACUGUGGUGUUGUCGGUGAACUUGAUGGUGGUGUUCGAGCGAUGAUAGGGAACCCAGUCAUACCUACAUUAUUAAGUAGUGACACACAAAGGUAUGACAGCCACACCAUUGGGUUUGAAGAAGCUGAUUCAUGCAAGACGUUCCCGGUGUGACCCUCAAAAGCUUGCCUAGGAUCCCAGCCUGCAGGAGUUGGAAAAAUAUUGCCGUUCCCUUGCAGAGAAUACACAGAAUUUAUUACGCAGUACUCAACAGUCACCAGCAGUUCUUGUGGCCCAGCAGGGUGGAUCCCUCCCAGGUCUCUGCUUUUUGCAGAUGAUGUGGUCCUGAUGGCUUCAUCUGACCGGGAUCUUCAGCUCUCGCUGGAUCGGUUCGCAGCCGAGUGUGAAGCGACCGGGAAUGAGAAUCAGCACCUCCAAGUCCGAGUCCAUGGUUCUCGCCCGGAAAAGGGUGGAAUGCCAUCUCCGGGUUGGGGAGGAGACCCUGCCCCAAGUGGAGGAGUUCAAGUACCUAGGAGUCUUGUUCACGAGUGAGGGAAGAGUGGAUCGUGAGAUCGACAGGCGGAUCGUUGCGGCGUCUUCAGUAAUGCGGACGUUGUACUGAUCCGUUGUGGUGAAGAAGGAGCUGAGCCGGAAGGCAAAGCUCUCAAUUUACCGGUCGAUCUACAUUCCCAUCCUCACCUAUGGUCAUGAGCUUUGGGUCAUGACCGAAAGGAUAAGAUCACGGGUACAAGCGGCCGAAAUGAGUUUCCUCCGCCGUGUGGCGGGGCUCUCCCUUAGAGAUAGGGUGAGAAGCUCUGCCAUCCGGGAGGAACUCAAAGUAAAGCCGCUGUUCCUUCACAUCGAGAGGAGCCAGAUGAGGUGGUUCGGGCAUCUGGUCAGGACACCUAGGGAGGUGUUUAGGGCACGUCCAACCGGUAGGAGGCCACGGGGAAGACCCAGGACACGUUGGGAAGACUAUGUCUCCCGGCUGGCCUGGGAACGCCUCGGGAUCCCCCGGGAAGAGCUAGACGAAGUGGCUGGGGAGAGGGAAGUCUGGGUUUCCCUGCUUAGGCUGUUGCCCCCGCGACUCGACCUCGGAUAAGCGGAAGAUGAUGGAUGGAUGGAUGGACUUUCACUUCAGUCGUUAGACCAUGUACUAGGGAUGUGUGUUGUUCACAUAUGUAUAUAUAAU